ACGCGUAUUCUCAGAGAUUGAGCAGUAUAAAUGCAUAUAUCAUAUCAUAUCAAUAUUUCUUUUCGUCAAGAGUAAAUUGCACAACAUCUUUUUUGGCUAUCUUAAGGCUAUGUUUUGGAGAAUGAUUAAUACGAGAUUGCUGAGACGUUGGCGAUUUGAUACGUCUGCAGUAGAUUAUGUGCAAUUGCUGUGUUGGUAACAGAUCAUAUUUAUCGUAUUGAUAAUCAUUGGCAAUUGUUACCAACGUUAUGCGAGAUUGCUAAUUAUAUGUUAGAAAACUAUAAUAGUGAAUUUUGCUAAAGAAAUUAGUUGUAAGAGCCAUAUUAAUUUGAAAACUAUGAGUCUUCGAAACCAUCGAUUUUUUUUUUAACAGUUUGUAUAUAACAUAUAAUGUGUCACGUGUUGUAAGGGGAGAAUGAUUCACCAAACGGUGCUCACGUGCGUUCAACGUAAGCACACGUGGGCAUAGCUUAGCAAACAGUACAGAAAUGUAAUCAACGUAUCACAUUUCUGUCACAUUUUUGUUUUCCUGCAAAUUACCUUUCUCUGCAAAAAGGCUAGCUCGUCCCAAGAGCUUCCAAUAUUACUCGUACAACAUCCCCUCACAGCUACUAUCCAAAUCAAAUACAUCAAACAGAGAUCGAUGACCACUAAAUCGAUCACAGGUCACGGAUCUCGUUUCCAGAAGGAGAGAUCACCAAAAGACACGCUCUUGCUGCACCUGCAGGUGCAACCAUAACCUCAAGCAACGGAGCUGGCUAUAAAUAAUGAUUGCGAAUUUAUUUUUAGCGAUGGAGGUCUCGCUAUACAGAGAAGAACAAGGAUAAAAGGAAGAAGACAGAGAUAAGGAGGACCAAAGCAGAAACGACGGGGAAAGGAGAAAGCAGAAGAAAGAAAAGUGGAGGGAGGAAGAGAGCAAGAGAGAAUCCGCUAGCAGUGGGCGGCUUUCCUCGAGGAACUCACGGCUGAACGGACACACAGGGGGUUAUGUUUGGCAGACUGGUUAACUGUCCGGCUGGAUGGCCGAACGGUGGUACUCUUGGUUCGCCGCUUCUGGCUUCGCUUCUCUCUUCGCUUACACAGAGUUUGUUGACUCUCGGUUUCAGCACGCCGGCUGACCAUGACCUCGCCGAACGAUCCGCGAAGUAAUACCGAGACGACUCUGACUCCCUGCCACCCGCCGUCGACGUCGUUGUCCUCGUUGUCCCUCCUAUACGGUAACACUUGCAUACAACAGCCUAGCUGGCGAGAAGCAGUUGCACGUCACCGGAGGAGGAACAGCUCGAGUUCGACGCUGAUCCACCUGACGCUCGGUGCUGGGAGCCGCGUUGUCGACUGUGCCGAUGCGGAAUCGGAAUUUCGACGGAAACGAACGACGUACUAAGCGGAAUAGCGGUCAUUGCCAUCCGGAUGGUGGCGUCGAUGCUUGUACCGAAGAUGGAAGUUCGAGUGGAUGGAGGAGCAGCUUAGGCUGUCGGUUAGGUUUUAAGUUGAUUCGGUUGCACCGUGUUGAUUCUCAGUUGGAAUAUUUGUGUAAUUGUUGGAAGAGUAUCGUGGGAAAUUGUAUGAUUUAUUCUGCGCAUGGUUAAUAAAGAUUUUUUAUAUGAAUGGCUAUGAACAGAGACUUUUGUAUUUAAAUAUGCAAGGCUAUAGCGAUUUCUUCGCUUUUAACGGGGCUUGUGAGAAAAUUUAAUCGUCUUGCGAUAUUUAGCUUGAAUCUAUGGAAAUAUUAAAAAUAUUCGAAUGAAUUCAAUAUUUUUGCGAACGAACGAGAAAUAUUCUAAUCUCUUGUCUCCAAAGGUUCUUAACAUGUAUGAAUAUUCCUCCCUUUUAAUAACACGCCGCUAAGCAACAUGCUAUAUUUAUGUAAUUAUUCAGAACUCUUUUAGAAUCUGAUGCAAAUUCUCAAGGUAUUUUUAUACCGAUUCAGCGAUAUUAGAAGGUCUCUUUAAACAUUAAUUUACAAAUCUCUAAAAAAAAAAAAAAAAUGUAAUGCUACAGAUGGUAUAAAUUACCUGGAAUAGAAGAAGACUAGAACGAUAUCUUUGAAAAAAUAUUUAAAAGUAAUCUUUGACGCAGACGUUUUCCCUUAUUUUUCGAAUGUAAUUCAUUAUACGAAGAAUUAUUCAAACAGCUUGUUUUAUACGUCCAAUUAUGCGGCCGAUCGUAGCAAGUAAUCUGUAAAUCAGUUAGCAGCGAGAAAUGAAUUUCAAAGAUCAAUCUAGAUCAAUGACUCCAAAUUAAGCGACUAAGUCAGACUCGCGUGCGCAAUUCGAGAGAUUGUAAGCAUCAAUUUGUAUGGCUGAUUUCACAAGCAGCGAAAUUACUCGUACGAAUUAUUGGAGUAGAGCGCACCUCAUUAAAAUACAAUUUAAUUUUCUACAGCGCAAUAAGAUAUAUCAAAAUGAUUAUCGUUUGUAUCUCGAACGUAGUUUUUAGGAAUACGAGCCAGUUAAAAGGAAACAAUUGUGCUAGAAGAAUACGCAUGGAAAAAAAAAUAGAAUUUGAAGAAAAAAAAAAAAAUAUUAGACAACCUGAAAUAAUUCUUUCGUCAUAUAGGUAGCAGUUAUUUACCGUUUAAGAGACCCAAAUCAACAAGCUCAACAAUGUCACACACGAUUACAGCAGAGCGUAGCGAGGGUUAAUCCCGAAACGUGGUCAGGAGGACCUGAACUCGAAAUGACGGUAAAUACGAAGUUCAUGAAAAGAGAGAUGGGGUCAAUCAUCGUCAGGCUUGCGUGGAAAAAAUAUUAAUCUCUGUAAGCGUAUCUGGGGCAGGGAAUAUCGAUCGUACGAUCUGGGUCAGAGCUUGCAUGCACCUUGCUGCACGCGUACGCGGCAGGGUGCAGCGGCCAUGUCGUUUGAACAACGACGUACACGUGUGUAGCCCUCGUGAAAAGUCUCACGUGCAAGGUGCCUCUCCACCUCUGGAAACUUACAACAGUCAGCGCGAUAAGAGCGAAUAAAUGCGAACCGCCGACUGCUAAGAGACUGCUUCCUUAGUUUAAUUCCCCGCGUUGGAAACACGUGGCCAACGGACACGAGGAGUACAAAAUAACCCGGUGAAUUACACAAUAAGGAGAUUGAAGAUAAAUGUAUAAUUGCAUGGAUGACUGACGAGAUUAACUAUGACAAUGUCUAAGAUGAAACGAUGGAACAAUGGACGACAGAGAAUCGCUAACCGAUAUUUUAUCUAACUCGAAUUCGAAUAUAAUUUGAGAAAUUCAUCUCUAAUACACCAUCAAUGAAACUUUUAUCGUAAUUUCGAAAUAUCCACGCUGUUAGAGAAAAUUUCAUGAUGAUCGUUAAAAGAAGAUAUACGUAUAUAUGAAUAUUAAUUAAAAUCCCAACAUCUGCCUAAUAUUUAUCUAAUAUUUCAAUAAAAGGUCACGUCCCAUACUACUGCUCAAUAAUAAUCGUAUUUUAUACGUUUUAUACGUCUUUUACCAUAAAUACAAAAUUAGAAGCUUAAAACAUCAUACACUUAUGAAAUAUCAGUAAAAUACUUUUUACGUAAUAAUAGGAGCGAGAUAAAAAAAAGUAUGUUAUCUUCAUUUUUCUACUUAAAUCAAACGAGUGCUUAAAAGGUUAAUUUUAUAAAAACGAAAAGAAGAGCAGAAUCGUGCUCCCACGGGAAACAGAUAAGGACUGUUACGAUCGCCAAUUUGAUGUGUGACUAUACAUGGCUGAACACGUGCGUAGAAGGAGAGGCCGUAAAAUCGAUCGUCUGCAACGCAUCUCUAUGCGUUGCACGUGACUCAACGCCACUCUGCCAUGGCGGACAAACAGCCCGGCUGCUGUAUCAACCAACUGUGCUCGAAAUAGUUACCUAAUAACGAAACGAUUAUGCAGAAAUUUCACUGUAUAGAAAAACAGCAACGUGAAUUCUGCUUCUUUUUAAAUGUACUUUCAAUUCAUCUUCUUUUCACCGUAAUUCGAUUUUCAUAUAUCUACGAUCUAUUCGAAAGUAUUUUUCGUUGUACAUCAUUUUUUGCAUGAUUCCUGAGGAAGCUGAAUUUCAAAGGACGAAUUAUAGAAUAGGCCAACGCUAGAAAAUCGAUCUUAUGUUCGAUAAGUAAUCGGCAAGAAAAUUCGUUCCGUCAUCGACAACGAUCAACGGUAACCAAGAAAUGUUCUAUCAUUACCGAUAAUGGUUAUUCGCGACCAAAAUUAAUUUUCCAUCAUCGAUACACGUAACCGAAAAAAUAUAGAUUGCUUAUGGCGGUUAGCGUCACCAAAGUCGUUCCAACUAAUUUUAAGGUUAACUCCUCCAUCACAAUUUUAAUUUGGGUUAGAACUGCUACGUGCGAGCGCGCACGCGGACGCGCGCAUAACCUCUGAUUUUUAUUGUAGAAAGUUCAUGUACGAGAUGAUUAAGUAUUCCUAUUUUGACAUCCCAUAAACUACCCAGUACAUACAUUUAUCACACUCUUGCUCAUAAUUCACGUUUGACUGUGACUGCUUCCGACAUAUACCAUUAAAACUGAGACAAUCGCUCAAAGACGCUGAAACGCAUACAAAUAGCCUGUUCGUAGGAUAGAAGAAAGUAGCCGCGUCGUAUCCCUCUGUGAUUGUUAGGGCCGCGGGCGCGUAGAAAAUAAGAAAAAUCGAUAAAUGGUAAAACAGAAGCAUGCAUAGAGCCGACGACGACUGUAUAAUGCCACGGGCCCCGUUAUAAAUAUUGCAGCCACCGAUACAAUGCACAAUACGCGAGCUACACACGUACGAGAGAUUACGAACUGACGAGUCACGCGUCACGUGAAUCACCCUUAGGGAGAUUUGGCUCCAUUCAAUGCCAGAGGGUGAAAAGUUGACGAAAAAAAGGCUCGCCGAUCGAACAGAAGGGGUUGCUGCAGCCUCCCUUCGCUUCGGACCAAAGACAGUCAAGUACUCUACACAAUAUACAAAUUUAUACUGUGCCGCGAACAAAAUCUUUCGCGUUAAUUUCGGUAUAUUCGGUAUAAUUAAGCGUACGCGUAUAAUUGUUAUAUGAACUAUUAAAAA
This is a long non-coding RNA of Bombus huntii, 5004 nucleotides long. RefSeq lists it as uncharacterized. Lineage: Eukaryota; Metazoa; Arthropoda; Insecta; Hymenoptera; Apidae. The transcript has 3 exons. The record is from RefSeq and is a predicted model, not a curated record.